RNAcentral lists this ribosomal RNA (460 nucleotides) under uncultured bacterium. RNAcentral describes it as "partial 16S ribosomal RNA". It matches the Rfam family "Bacterial small subunit ribosomal RNA", at positions 338 to 795 of the family's 1533-position model. The record is from RNAcentral.
CCUACGGGGGGCAGCAGUGAGGAAUAUUCGUCAAUGGACGGAAGUCUGAACCAGCCAUGCCGCGUGCAGGAAGACGGCUCUAUGAGUUGUAAACUGCUUUUGUACAAGGGUAAACCUGAAUACGUGUAUUCAGCUGAAAGUACUGUACGAUUAAGGAUCGGCUAACUCCGUUCCAGCAGCCGCGGUAAUACGGAGGAUCCAAGCGUUAUCCGGAUUUAUUGGGUUGAAAGGGUGCGUAGGCGGAUUGAUAAGUUAGAGGUGAAAGGUCCGGGCUGAACUCGGGAACUGCCUCGAAUACUGUUGAUCUAGGGAGUAGAUGCGGUAGGCGGAAUGUAUGGUGUAGCGGUAAAAUGGUUAGAGAUCAUACAGAAACCAGAUUGCGAGGGGAGCGUACUAAACUGUGACUGACAUUGAUGCUCGAAAGUGUGGGUAUCAAACAGGAUUAGAUACCCUUGUAGUC